Molecule: long non-coding RNA, 815 nt
Organism: Trifolium pratense (red clover)
Lineage: Eukaryota; Viridiplantae; Streptophyta; Magnoliopsida; Fabales; Fabaceae
Exons: 4
Source: RefSeq, a predicted model, not a curated record
UGCAAAUUUCCAUUCAUUUUGUUCAAUUUCCAGGGGUAAAUGUGGCUUUUCAUAAUUAUUUGCACACUACCCAAUUGUCCGUCCAUUCAAGGGAGAGAGAGAGAGAGUAUGUACUAUGAUAUGAUAUCUCCUUUAUCAAACUAUGACAUAAUAAAGUGGGUCUUUGGAAGCUUCAACACUCAAAAUCUCCAAUCCUUAUUCCGUAGCACAAGAGAACAUACAGCCAGAGCCAUUUUCGGUUUUUUGAGUUCCUUCUUCUUCCUUUGUUGUUGUAUUUCAUAUUUAUUACAACUCUUUUAGAACAUCAUCAUGGUAUUAAUGUUUUGAAAUUGUUGUUCCCGCGUUACAGGAAAAUCAUGGACUCAAAAGAGACGAAAUUGAAGAUGAAAAUUACAAAAGCUGCAAUGGAGGAUACUGAGAAACUUAAGGCUGAUAACUCAUCAAUGGAAGCUGAAAAUCGACAGGUUUCGAAAGAUCCAAAUGUCAAGUUGAAGCUUACAAAAUCCUCAACUGAAACAGAGAAACUUAAGGCUAUGGUGGUUUGUUUCAAUUUGCGAUGAAGCUGUUGCUGUAGCAAUUUCUACCAUCAGAGAGUUCCAAAAUGACUUUAAAGAGGUAGUAUUACAUUCCAUUUACUCCAUUUUCUCUAUUUGAAUAGUAUAAAAUUUGGAUUUUGCUCCUUUAAACUGUAGAAGUUAGACAUCCGAAUCAUUAGUGCAAAGAUCAAAGGUUGAUAAAUCAUGAGUUUGUUAAAAGUCCAAUUUAUUGAUUUUUAAUUAAAGUUGAGAUGCAUUACACACUUUAUUAAAGGAAUG